Anolis carolinensis (green anole) is the source of this 7446-nucleotide long non-coding RNA. RefSeq lists it as uncharacterized. NCBI's taxonomy places the organism in Eukaryota, Metazoa, Chordata, Lepidosauria, Squamata, Anolidae. The transcript is spliced from 3 exons. The record is from RefSeq and is a predicted model, not a curated record.
UAGUUUGUAGGGCCUGACUAUCUGAGACCGUAUGUCCUUAUACCAAUCUGUCAAAACCUUGAGAUCUGCAAGGGAAAGCUUUAUCUUGGUCCCACCACAGCCAUGCUUGGUGAGGACAUGAGACAGAGCCUUCUUAGUGGCUGCUCCCAUUCUCUGGGCCUUCCAUGACCUUUUAAUGGGUAUAUUUUAUGUAUCUUUUAAUUUCUGUAUAUUUUAAUGGAACUUAAUAUUGGAUUUCAACACCAUACUGCCCAAGUCUGCACUCCUCAAUGAGGAACAGUUAGCUGAGGGAAUCCCUUCACCGCUGACUCCUGAAUGUCAGUUGGAAUGUAUCUAUUGGUUCUCUCUCUCUCUCUGUUCUCAUCCCGAUUGGUGGUGUAGAAUGGAUAUUCUUCAGGUUGCAUGCCUUUGUUUAAGACUUCUGCUUUUUCAUCUUUGCACUCAGACCUCUCUCUACUCUCUGUGUUUGAAGAGAUAUAGUGUUUGGAGGUUUUUCCACUUGUUUUGGAACUUAGAAGUCAUGGAGUUAGAGAGAAGCUUAGACCCAAUUCUUUCCUUUCAAGAAAUGUAGUUCUUAUUUGUAAAUAAACCUUUUUGGUAACUUUAAAGAUUGAACUCUGCAUCUUUGCCUUCUGUGAUCAAAAUUCUUUGGCAGCCACACAACACUUCACCUUUCUACUUGCUGUGAGCUGACUGCUCAAUUAAGUAUCUUGUUUGUAUUUUUGGAUGCUCUGCUAUUUUUGGGAGAAUUCCCUAAUACUUAAGAUGUAUUAUAUGAUUUCAGUUAUUUUGACAUUAUGUGUGAUACUAUUUUAACGUAUUGUAUUUGGAAGCCACCCUCGGCCCCGAAUUGAGAGAAAGGCAGAAGAUACAUUCAAGACACAAAGAAACAAAAAACCCAAAUAAAAUAAACUGGGCUGUGUUGUCAGUCUUAAGUUGCUGUUGGAAUUAUAAAAUGAACCCUACAAUUUAAAAUUUCCUACAGUGCCUCAGAACUGGUAUGUUGACAUCGUUGUGAGAAAUGUAUGAUGCCUACUCACAUCUGCUACCAGGUUAAUUUAUGUCCCCUUUAAGGUCUUUCUCUCUGUGUGAGAGAGACUCUUUCCUUUGAAUUAUUUUGAAGGGGGGAAAAGCCAAGAUAGGUAUGUAUAUAUGUCUGAGGAAAAACAUUCUUCAUUACUAUUCAGGCACACAUUGCAAUGUCCCCAUGAAGAAAGCAGGCUUUGUUUCAUUGAGAAUGAUGAAUCAUUACUUUUCCAUCUCAUUUCCUAAGCACUAUACUGUGUGACUAUUACACUUGAGUGGUUUCUAGUGUCUUACAUUAUUUUAUGUCUUGGUUAGAGUCCCAUUCCUGUUUCUAUAAUAUUGAGAGGGUUACUUAAGAAGAGGUUUUCUAAUGGAUACAGAAAUCUGAAAUGUCUCUGCCCCUGCCCCCCACACACACAUCCAUUUCAGAUUUUCUGAUCUUUUGACUUUUUUUGUUGGUUAUACAAAGCCUCCAAAGGUGGUUAAACCAAAAUCAUAAGAAGAUUAUUUCUUUUCCAUAAUAUGCUUAUUAUCUGCACUACUGGUAAUAGGAUCACUUCAGUCAUUCUUAAGAGCCCUUGGUGGCAUUCAAUAGUUGAUCUGUCGGAUCCCUAUUUGUUACUUGCUUUCUGCUUCAUCAGACAAUUUAGGGGCUGAUAUACACCAUAGGACUUUCCAAAGUAGCUCUUAUUCAUGGUCGAAAUACAGGAAAUCCAUUCAGUUGAACACAGAAUCUGCAGUGCUGGGUCAAGGUGCUUUGCUGCCAAAGGUAUAGAAACAAAUUGUGUUCCCUGUCCUCUAUCAGGGCAAAGAAUAUUUAGAAAACAUACUUGAAGUGAAAAGUCAAAUUAAUCUCACAAGCACCUCUGCUCACUCCUAAUAGUAACAAUACAAUAACAGUAAAUGAAGUACCUAACAAUCUUUUGCUCUUUGAUGGCACUAACAGCCUGCAGCCCUAUAUCCCCUCAAGAUCUAUACAUAAUAAAAGUGAAAAAUGUGUGUGUGGAGGAGGUUUCCACUUACACAGACAGACCCCUGCCUCCACAAACAGCUAUAGUUCCCACUGAGCAGGAGUCACCAAUGGCCCACCCUCCACUGACAUGCAGGUUAUAGUGAGCGCUGUAAACAUGUAGCCCAAACCCUGUCAGUGCCCUCCAAAACACCAUUUGGCCCGCCACCCAAGUGAAGGCUUUCAUGUGGGGACAAUUUCAUCCUAGAUGUUCUGUUUUUCCUCUAGAAUAGACACCCCAGGGUUCCUUAAUUUACAUGACCCCUGUUCACUGCCUCUAUCUUAACCCCUUCCUACCCUUUCCUAUGGCACACAGUUAACAGAGGAACAGAGGUUUGGGGAGAAUUCACCAUGAUUUACAAGAGUUGUACUUGACCGACAUCCAGAGAGCACUGUUAACCCAACCAACGAUAGAUUUGGACCAAAUUUGCCAUGGAUAAUGGGACUUGAAGUAACUUCACUGAUACAGUGACCCCCACCGACAAUGGACGCGGACCAAACUUGGCACAGAGAAGCCCCAUGACCAACUGAACAUACUACAGGGGUUAGUGGAAAUGGACCUUAAUUUUAGGAGUUGUAGUUCACCUGCAUCCAGAAAGCACUGAACCAGCUGAUGUCAGAUCUGGACCAAACUUGGCACACAGAGCCAACAUGGCCAAGUGUGCAUAGAGGCCUGGUUUGGGGGUGACUGACCUUGGAUCUGCGAGUUGUAGUUCACCCUUCUCCAGACAGCUCUGAACCCUGCUGACAACAGAUCUGGACCAAACUUGGCAUACACAUCCAACAUAGCCAACUGUGAGCAUUGGCAGGGUUUGGGGGUGAUUGCCCUGGAAUUUUGGGAGUUGUAGUUCACCCUUAUCUAGACAGCACUGAACCCAACCAAUGAUGGAUCUGGACCCAACUUAAGUGAUAUUACCUAACAUCCCAAAACAAACAAUACCUUCUUUUAUAAACCUGGGCAUUGACGGGUCCCAAAGUUAGUUAACAAUAAUGUUGGCUGUGAUAUUAACGAAGACUUCAGCACCAUGGUCAGUUCCCUGGUAGCAUUGAAUUCUCAUGAAGAAGAAAUCCUUUCAGCAUCACAACAGCUUUCCUAUCUCUGCCAGGCUCUGCCCACGCUUAGAGGAUCUCUUAAUGGGAUCAUAUCACACAAUGGUUGGAGAAGAGAAGGUUGAGAGGGACAUGAUAGGAGACUUUUGUGGAAGUUUGUUAUCUGGCCACUACAGUUUAGAGCUAACUUCAAACUGCAUUAAUUUAGUCAGUGUAGGUGGGGCCUCAGUAAGCCUUAAAUCUGAUUUAUUUUGUUUAAAUCACUGGCCUCAUUAGUGGUGGGCAACUGGGGAGGAGUCAGAGGUCUUUUUCACCUGUUUACCUCUCUCCCUGAACUCCUAAUAUAACUAGAAGUUUCAAGUCACUUCCAGUUCAAUUGUGGACCAGUUUUUGUCUGAUCUUUGGGUGGGGCUUAAGAGGCCAAAAUAGGAUAAUGGGCCACAUGUAGCCUGUGGGCUGUUCUUUCUGUACCCCAUAUACAUACAUAGCAGUUCAUAAAAAAGCAGCUAUUUCUCUUUGGUGGAUAGUCUCCUUUUAAAGUUUAGUGCUAAGAGCUGUAGCAAAGGAAUGAUUUGAUCAAAAAUUCAUGAAACUGACUUUGGAAUUAGAGGAUGAACAGCUUUAUGAAAUUGCUCCUCCCUUUCUCCCCAAUUAUGUUCUAAUAAAUUGUUCCACCAGUACAUCAGCACAUUUGCAUGUGCUUACAACCCCCCAAAUCUGAGCCAGGAUGGCAAGUAAAAGGAGAUUUAGUCCAAAUAAGUAUUUUUCCCAUGCUCUACUUGACAAUAAGCCCUACUGAAUGAAAUGAGGGUUAAUUUUAAUUAGACAUACAUGGCAGUCUCUGAUUCCCCAACUGUGUAAAAAGAGGAUAUGGGACACUUUUAGAUCUUUUGAAUAAAUUGUGGUGAUUUUUUUUUUUUACAAAAUAUUCUUUUAAAAAAUCCAGGCAAAAAGAAAAUCCUUUCUAGUAGUUCAGGUUUAAAUAUUGUGUUGUGUUUCUAGUCGUUCAGGUUUAAAUAUUGUGCUGUGUGGAAUUGUGACUUUAUACAUGCCUCAGCUACUGCGUUGUCUAUGGAGCAGUCCCUGCACUAUACUUCUGUAAUGAAAGCAACUAUUGGAGGGAUGUGGGUUUCUGUGAGUUUUCCAGGCUGUAUGGCCAUGUUCCUGAUGCAUUCUCUCCUGACGUUUCACCCACAUCUAUGGAAGGCAUCCUCAGAGGUUGUGAGGUCUGUUGGAAAUUAUGCAUCUGUGGAAGGUCCAGGGUGGAAGAAAGAACUCUUGUCUGCUUGAGGCAAGUGUGAAUGGUGCAAUUCUUUCUCCCACCUUGAACCAGAAGAAAAUUGACCAUUAUCCCCCAUGCCUGUUCUAAGCUAGUUUCCCCUAGUGUGAUGUUUCCCUAAUGUUUCUAAGGAAAUAACUAAAGAUCUGUGUUUUCAGGGUCAACUCUGACUUUUCCACUAUAUUUUAAAGGCUUUCGUGGGGUCUUUUUUGUUUUGUUUCAGAUCAUAUGCUCUUCCUGACCAUAAGGUCAAAAGGGUCAGGAUUUCUACUGAUUCACUGACUUGAAGCUUUAGGAUGAAGCUAGCAGCCACUAGAACUGCUGUUUCUGACUUUAGAGCUCAGUCUCUAAGGAGAGAGAAGACCGCACCAGGAGCAUUGCAUCCAGUUCUGCACACUACAUUUCCAGAAGAAUAUUGAAAAGCUGGAGGUUUCCACACUAAGGUGAUCAAAAUGGUGCUUGAAGCUGAAGCCCAGCAUACCUAUCAAAAAUCAAGUGCUUUGUAAAACACUGCGAGCAGUCUAUUAGAAGGAAAAGUUUCUGUGUGGCUGGGUGGGACCGGUUGUUUUGAACAACAGCAAGAAAAGAAACCUUGUUUGAAUGAAGACUCCUCCGGCAAAGUGAAAUCAGGAAGGAAAGGAGGAUGGGUGCCUGCUCUCUGGCUGUUACUCAUAAAAGCAUUGAACUCAGUAUUUAAUUUCUAAAAAAGGUGCAAUGUUUUGAAAUCUAAGUUGGGAAUAGCACUCUGUACAGUCUGUUUCUCACGGAGAGAGACUUGAAUUACCUAUGAAUGAGCGAGUGAGCAUAUGCACCUCCUAAGAGCAUGGAAAAGCUACUUUUGUGAGGGAACUGCUAAUCUCAGAAAUGUGUUGUCGAAGGCUUUCAUGACCAGAAUCACUGGGUUGCAGUGAGUUUUCUGGGCUGUAUGGCCAUGCUCCAGAAGUAUUCUCUACUGAUGUUUCACCCACAUCUAUGGCAGGCAUCCUCAGAGGCUGUGAGGUCUCCUCAGAGGUUGUGAGGCAUCAUCAGAGGUUGUGAGAUCUCACAACCUUAGGUCUCAGCAGUGGUCAGGAGGGCUUUUGCACCAGUUGCGCCUGUACCUUGGGAAGUCACACUUGGCCACGGUGGUCCAGGCAUUGGUUACAUCUCGUAUAGACUAUUGCAAUGCACUCUACAUGGGGCUGCCUUUGCAAACUGUUUGGACGCUUUAGUUAGUCCAAUGUGCAGCAGCCAGAUUGUCACGCCCAAGGCAACAGAGCACUAAGAACCGACACACGGAGGCCAAAAACUAUCUAAUAUCUUUAUUAAGGAAAUAUGUAAGAAUAAUAAAAACAAGUAGGAAAUGUAGUCCAGUAUAAGACCUUUCAGGGAAGGUCAAAUAUAGUCCAAAAUUAUAUUGUCCAAUAUUUUAUAUUAGAGUCCAAAGUUAUAAUCCCAAACCGAAACACACUCUAUUUACAAGCAAUAGAGUGGGGAAACAUCCAAAGAUCUUUUCAAAGUCCAAAGUAAGUCCACGACAAGAACUGGAAACAAGGCUUGAUACUAGAAACAAGGUCCGAGGCUGGAAGCAAGGCAAGAUAGUUCUUGAAUACUUGGUUAGGCAAGGCAAGGCGAGGCAAGGGAACUGGAGUUGCAGACUUUGCGAAGUCCACACUUGGCUGGAAACACGAAAUCACUCCUGAAGCUGAUCUGUUGACUCCGCACGGAAUUCUUCGUGUCAGGCACUUUUAUCCCGGUUUCAUUUCUCUGCAAAGCAGGUGUCCUGAACUUCCUUUCCCAAGGGAAAGGAGAACGAAACACAUCUCCCUCCAGAUGCGUUCCUCCCUAGAAUUUCCCAGGGGAACAUGGCUAAUUAAUGUCUUGUUUAGCUGCUAUUCUCAAGCUCCUCCGAACCUGCUCUUUCUCUCCCCUGCCCGCCGCAUAGAACUGUUUCCUGGGAAAAGGAGGGGAGGUAGUGGGAAAGGCCUGGUCAAGGUCUUCCUUAAUGGGCUCUCGGGUAGAAACAUCAACAACAGGCAUCUGGAAAGAUUCCGGCUCUUGCUGAGCCGGCAAAAAUCCCCUGUUUUCCUCCUCAUCAGCUACAAUGGCGCUGGGAUCAGAACUCCAAGGCCCAUGAGGCAUCACACAGAUUGCCAAUGGGAGCAGUGUUCAGGGAGCACACAACCCCUCUAUUGCUCCAGCUCCAUCGGCUGUCGGUUUGCUACCGAGCACAAUUCAAAGUUCUGGCUUUGACUUAUAAUGCCCUGAAUGACCCUGGCCAAAUUUACCUGUCCGAAGGCAUCACCCUCUGUAAACCAGCACAGAGGUUAAGAUCUUCUGGAGAGGCCCUACUCUUGGCCCCACCAUCUUCGCAGGCACAACUUGUGGGGACGAGAGACAGGGCCUUCUCAGUGGUGGCCCCUCAGCUGUGGAACUCCCUCCCUAGUGAGAUUAGGUUAGCCCCUUCCCUCCUGCCAUUUUGCAAAAAAGUGAAAACCUGACUUUGGGAGCAAGCUUUUGGCCGAGCAUAAUUAUCUGGGCAAUAUAGUUGGAAUUGGCUUUGGAUUGAUGAAUAUAAUUACCUGAUUAUCUGGCUUCGGAUCUAGGCACAACAGUCAUCUAAUGUUUACAUAAUUGUUUUAAUGUUGUUUUACAUUGUUGUUUAAUUGCUUUCAAUUAUUGUUAUUGUUCGGGCAUGGAAUAAUGCCGCUCAUGUAAGUCACUCUGGGUGAGAAGGGCGAGAUAUAAAUGUCGUAAAUAAAUAAAUAAAUAGGAGUGUAUCUAUAUGUGUUUAUUACUUGUUUUGUUAAAGAAUGUGGAUAGUCUGUGGGAUUCACUUUGUUCUGUUGAAUUUUUGUUAAGUUAUGUCUCCAACUAAAAAUGAAUUCUGGAAAAAAAAUCUUUAUCACUUUAUUUGCAGUGCCUUGAAUACCAAAUGAGCUCAAUAUCCUUUUAACUGGUAUAAAUGGAUGGUACUGUUUCAUUAUCUGUGUAGAGGCCACAAGGGGGUGCUAGAGAGAGGAGGAUAGUCCCUUUUAUGGGGUUGGAGGGUGAGUUGAAGGAGUAAAAUAUUUCCCCCCUGUUUUCCUGUUAUUCUCCCCAC